AAAUUCUAGUGUGGUACCUAGUUUUUUUAUGACUCUACUUGCAAUCUGGGUACAACAAUUUUUUGUAAUCAUCUAUCAUGCGUUGCAACUUUUCUAAUUCCUUCUCAGUUUCGCAAUCUCUGUGUACAUCCUGUAGCACCUGACCAAGAUCAUCAGUAGGGCCAUCUUUGGCAAACUCAUCUUCAUCAGGCUUGCCCAUUGUAGUAUCUGCAAAAAGCUUGGCCAGCAGCCUAGUCCGGAAUAUUGUUAUCAUCCUCCUCUU
Molecule: long non-coding RNA, 262 nt
Filed under: Setaria viridis
Lineage: Eukaryota; Viridiplantae; Streptophyta; Magnoliopsida; Poales; Poaceae
Description: long non-coding RNA (SVIR_LNC011257)
Source: RNAcentral